GAUGAACGCUGGCGGCGUGCCUAAUACAUGCAAGUCGAGCGAACGGACGAGAAGCUUGCUUCUCUGAUGUUAGCGGCGGACGGGUGAGUAACACGUGGAUAACCUACCUAUAAGACUGGGAUAACUUCGGGAAACCGGAGCUAAUACCGGAUGAUAUUUUGAACCGCAUGGUUCAAAAGUGAAAGACGGUCUUGCUGUCACUUAUAGAUGGAUCCGCGCUGCAUUAGCUAGUUGGUAAGGUAACGGCUUACCAAGGCAACGAUGCAUAGCCGACCUGAGAGGGUGAUCGGCCACACUGGAACUGAGACACGGUCCAGACUCCUACGGGAGGCAGCAGUAGGGAAUCUUCCGCAAUGGGCGAAAGCCUGACGGAGCAACGCCGCGUGAGUGAUGAAGGUCUUCGGAUCGUAAAACUCUGUUAUUAGUGAAGAACAUAUGUGUAAGUAACUGUGCACAUCUUGACGGUACCUAAUCAGAAAGCCACGGCUAACUACGUG
This 497-nucleotide ribosomal RNA is filed under the name uncultured bacterium. RNAcentral's name for it is "partial 16S ribosomal RNA". It matches the Rfam family "Bacterial small subunit ribosomal RNA", at positions 28 to 507 of the family's 1533-position model. The record is from RNAcentral.